ACGGCUCAGUAACACGUAGUCAAUCUACCCUAUGGACGGGAAUAACCUCGGGAAACUGAGAAUAAUGCCCGAUAGAACAUUAUGCCUGGAAUGGUUUAUGUUCCAAAUGAUUUAUCGCCAUAGGAUGGGACUGCGGCCUAUCAGUUUGUUGGUGAGGUAAUGGCCCACCAAGACUAUUACAGGUACGGGCUCUGAGAGGAGUGGCCCGGAGAUGGGUACUGAGACACGGACCCAGGCCCUAUGGGGCGCAGCAGGCGAGAAAACUUUGCAAUGUGCGAAAGCACGACAAGGUUAAUCCGAGUGGUUUCUGCUAAAGAAACCUUUUGUCAGUCCUAGAAACACUAACGAAUAAGGGGUGGGCAAGUUCUGGUGUCAGCCGCCGCGGUAAAACCAGCACCUCAAGUGGUCAGGAUGAUUAUUGGGCCUAAAGCAUCCGUAGCUCGUUUUGUAAGUUUUCGGUUAAAUCCAUGCGCUUAACGUAUGGGCUGCCGGGAAUACUGCAUAACUAGGAAGUGGGAGAGGUAGACGGUACUCGGUAGGAAGGGGUAAAAUCCUUUGAUCUAUUGAUGACCACCUGUGGCGAAGGCGGUCUACCAGAACACGUUCGACGGUGAGGGAUGAAAGCUGGGGGAGCAAACCGGAUUAGAUACCCGGGUAGUCCCAGCUGUAAACUAUGCAAACUCAGUGAUGCAUUGGCUUGUGGCCAAUGCAGUGCUGCAGGGAAGCCGUUAAGUUUGCCGCCUGGGAAGUACGUACGCAAGUAUGAAACUUAAAGGAAUUGGCGGGGGAGCAC
Molecule: ribosomal RNA, 793 nt
Filed under: uncultured archaeon
Lineage: Archaea
Description: bacterial SSU rRNA
Rfam family: Archaeal small subunit ribosomal RNA
Source: RNAcentral